This 75-nucleotide transfer RNA is filed under the name Chloroflexota bacterium. RNAcentral's name for it is "Chloroflexi bacterium tRNA-Met". It matches the Rfam family "tRNA". Rfam says of the family: Transfer RNA (tRNA) molecules are approximately 80 nucleotides in length. Lineage: Bacteria; Bacillati; Chloroflexota. The record is from RNAcentral. RNAcentral also lists the same sequence under 1 other name.
GGGCCCGUAGCUCAAGGGCAGAGCGUCCGGCUCAUAACCGGUUGGUUCCAGGUUCGAAUCCUGGCGGGCCCACCA